CUCUGUGCAGAUAGUCUCUGUGCACUGGGAUGGAGGGAUGAAGCAGAGCAGCCCGUGAUUGCUCCAGCUGAGCAAUGCAGGCUCAGAACACCUUGUUCAAGUGGCACUCAGGUUCAGUUCUACAGAAUCACUAUAAACACAGAAUCAUUGUGUGAACACUUCAUCCAGCAUAGUGGAGCUUCCAUUGCAUGGACAGAUGCUGUUUGAAGGAACACUGAGAUUCUGGAGUGAAAGCUGCUAUAUGACUUCAAAACAUGGUUGAACAAGAAGUGGAGCAGCCUAAUGAAGCGUGGAUCCAGCUACUGGAGACUUUAAAAAUGUAAAGAAUUUUUUCUCUGGUAUUCAAAAUCUAGGUGACCUGUCAGGCCCUUGUAGAUCGCUUCUGAACUGACAAUACUCCAGUGCCUCCUCCAGGUGGAUGCCCAACAAGCAGGAUGGAGGUACAAGCAGGGGAACCUGAGCUGUUCAUCUGCAGCACAGUGUUUAUGAAGAAUACUGAUUUAUUUCU
Long non-coding RNA from Lagopus muta (rock ptarmigan), 508 nucleotides. RefSeq lists it as uncharacterized. The transcript is spliced from 3 exons. The record is from RefSeq and is a predicted model, not a curated record. NCBI's taxonomy places the organism in Eukaryota, Metazoa, Chordata, Aves, Galliformes, Phasianidae.